AUUGUGUCAGUACGAAGAGCCUCUGUUCGUUGGUGUUUCUGUGCUGGGAGCUUUACUGCUUGGUCUCCAGAUGUUUUUCAAUAGAAUUGUUGACCCCAUAAGUUUCUGGUUAGACUGAACAAGGGCAUCUCGUGCUUAUCAUUCCACCAUCUUCAAAUGACACAAGGGGAAGGAAAUGGAUCUGAAGUGAGUCUAAAUUUCUUCCACAGCACGAUGCUGACUG
Hemiscyllium ocellatum (epaulette shark) is the source of this 223-nucleotide long non-coding RNA. RefSeq lists it as uncharacterized. The record is from RefSeq and is a predicted model, not a curated record. NCBI's taxonomy places the organism in Eukaryota, Metazoa, Chordata, Chondrichthyes, Orectolobiformes, Hemiscylliidae. The transcript is spliced from 3 exons.